AAUUCGCCCUUAGAGUUUGAUCCUGCUCAGGAUGAACGCUGGCGGCGUGCCUAAGACAUGCAAGUCGUGCGGAAAGGCCACUUCGGUGGUACUCGAGCGGCGGACGGCAGAGUAACGCGUAGGAACAUACCCCAAACUGAGGGAUAACUGCUCGAAAGAGUAGCUAAUACUGCAUGUGAUCUUCGGAUUAAAGCUUCGGCGGUUUGGGAAUGGCCUGCGUCCGAUUAGCUGGUUGGUGAGGUAAUAGCUCACCAAGGCGACGAUCGGUAGCUGGUCUGAGAGGAUGAUCAGCCUGACUGGAACUGAGAACGGUCCAGACUCCUACGGGAGGCAGCAGUCGGGAAUUUUCCACAAUGGGCGAAAGCCUGAUGGAGCAACGCCGCGUGCAGGAUGAAUGCCUUCGGGUUGUAAACUGCUUUUAUUAGUGAAGAAUAUGACGGUAACUAAUGAAUAAGGGUCGGCUAACUACGUGCCAGCAGCCGCGGUCAUACGUAGGACCCAAGCGUUAUCCGGAAUUACUGGGCGUAAAGAGUUGCGUAGGUGGCAGGAUAAGUGGAGUGUGAAAGCGUGCGGCUCAACCGCAUAUCCUCAUUCCAAACUAUUAGGCUUGAGUAUGAUAGAGGUAGAUGGAAUUUCUAGUGUAGGAGUGAAAUCCGUAGAUAUUAUAAGGAACACC
RNAcentral lists this ribosomal RNA (676 nucleotides) under uncultured bacterium. RNAcentral describes it as "bacterial SSU rRNA". It matches the Rfam family "Bacterial small subunit ribosomal RNA", at positions 1 to 710 of the family's 1533-position model. The record is from RNAcentral.